Small nuclear RNA from Jaculus jaculus (lesser Egyptian jerboa), 107 nucleotides. NCBI's taxonomy places the organism in Eukaryota, Metazoa, Chordata, Mammalia, Rodentia, Dipodidae. The record is from Ensembl.
GUGCUCGCUUCAACAGCACAUAUACUAAAAUUGGAAUGAUACAGAGAAGAUUAGCAUGGCCCCUGCUCAAGGAUGACACGCAAAUGUGUGAAGCGUUCCAUAUUUUU